GUGAAAGGUUGAGAGAAAGAACUGAGUCCAGUUCAGACCGAGGAGCCUGUGACACAGUCAACACCAAUGCCAAGGAGCCAGUGGAUACAGGGGUUGAGGUUGCAGACAUAAACACAGGAUUCAUCAGCAUAUGUGUGGUUUCUGAACCUAUGGGACAGGAUGGCAUCACUCAGGGAAAGAGCACAGAGUCAGAAGAAAAUAUGACCCAAGACCAGGCCUUGAAGAACUCCGAUAUUUAAUGUUUGGGUAGAAGAAAAGGCAAACGAAAGUAUCUGAAAAGAUGGGCCAGAGAAGAGAGAAUCAACCAAGGGGAGAUGGUCCCAGAAGUCAAACAGAAGGGAGUGAUUCGCUGUGAUGAAUGCUGCAGAGGCCAAAUAAGUUUUGCAAUCCCACCCAGGAAAAGAAGACAGCAAGAAGAAGCCACUUUGAGCCCCUAUGAUUUCAUCUUUGAUCCACUCAUCCAGCACUCCAUACUCCUUGAUCCCUACCCACCAAAUUCUCCUUAAAAGCCCUGGUCUCCAAAUGUUCAAGGCGACCGAUUUGAGUAAUAAAACUCUAGUCUCCCAUUUAGCUGGCUGUCUGUGAAUUAAAU
RNAcentral lists this long non-coding RNA (592 nucleotides) under Homo sapiens (human). Its description in RNAcentral is "non-protein coding lnc-LVRN-1:3". The record is from RNAcentral. Lineage: Eukaryota; Metazoa; Chordata; Mammalia; Primates; Hominidae.